ACGAGUGAAGGUGGUGAUCUCCUGCAGGACUGUUUAGGUGCUGUGAACAGCUUAUUUUUGACCAUGUUUGAAUUUAUUCUUACUUUUCUCUACUCACUCCCCACUUUCUCCACUCACUACCCACUUUCUCCAUUUUCCCCACUCUCCCCACUUUCCCCACUUUACCCACUCAUGUUCCCCACUCUCCCCAAAAAAUAUUUCCUCCACCCACUCUUCAUCAUUCUCUCUACAUAAAAACACACACACACAACAGAAAGAGGACGGACAACAAAAAUUCGGAAUUCCCCAUUUCUCUUUCCUCAAUAACUUUUCCCAAAAACGAUAAAGACAUAUGGCCGAUUAUCUUUGAUUUCAAUUCUUAAGGGAAUAAUUUUAAGAUUUCAGAUCUGGGUUUGGUAUGGUUUAGCUGAUUUUCCUUACAAAUAGGUCAAUUCAAGUCCAAGAAGUUGAAGAAAGUCACAAGAUUAUGCUAACAUCCUGAAAUCUUACAUUUGGAAUUCAGAGGAAACUACAGUAUAGCAGAUAUUGCAACUACAAACUUCAUCAUAUUUUUCCAGAAUACCCCACAACAGGAAGUGUGGGGGGGAGUGUACAGGGUGCUGAAAUGUUGAGAGGUUGUUAUUUAAGGGAGAUCAAGCUUCCAAGAUCAUCAUAUAAUCGCCAAGUUCUUGAAAAUAGAAAGAUGUGGAUACAGUUUCUUGUUCUGACUAAGUCGAAAUCAUGGAAGUAGUGUUCCUAGGGAUAUAUAUGAAGAAAGAUCGCUAUUUGAAAAUGACUGUGUUUAACGCCUUAGCUUAUUUUGAAAAGUACUUUUGUCAAAAGAAAUUUAAGAAAAGUAUAUUAGAAUAGUGGUCAUUUGCGUUUGGCCAAAUAAUUUAAG
This is a long non-coding RNA of Nicotiana tabacum (common tobacco), 880 nucleotides long. RefSeq lists it as uncharacterized. The record is from RefSeq and is a predicted model, not a curated record. Lineage: Eukaryota; Viridiplantae; Streptophyta; Magnoliopsida; Solanales; Solanaceae.